GACAGAGGGUGCAAACGUUGUUCGGAAUUACUGGGCGUAAAGCGCGUGUAGGCUGUCUUGCAAGUCGGGUGUGAAAGCCCUGGGCUCAACCUAGGAAGUGCACUCGAAACUGCAGAACUUGAGUCCUGGAGAGGAAGGCGGAAUUCUCGGUGUAGAGGUGAAAUUCGUAGAUAUCGAGAGGAACACCGGUGGCGAAGGCGGCCUUCUGGACAGUGACUGACGCUGAGACGCGAAAGCGUGGGGAGCAAACAG
This 252-nucleotide ribosomal RNA is filed under the name uncultured bacterium. RNAcentral describes it as "partial 16S ribosomal RNA". It matches the Rfam family "Bacterial small subunit ribosomal RNA", at positions 524 to 775 of the family's 1533-position model. The record is from RNAcentral.